Linepithema humile (Argentine ant) is the source of this 631-nucleotide long non-coding RNA. RefSeq lists it as uncharacterized. The record is from RefSeq and is a predicted model, not a curated record. Lineage: Eukaryota; Metazoa; Arthropoda; Insecta; Hymenoptera; Formicidae.
AACUACUCACGCAGUUGAUAGCUGCGUUUACCCAUAUAAAUCUUUCUCUGCAUAAUCUUUUUAUUAAUAGAUCCCCUUUGCCUUAUCCUUCUCGCGAAAACAAACUUUUUUCCAAUGCCUUGGAUAACUCCCAUAAUGGAUAAGUCUUUCAACAGCAAUAUAAAAAUUUUUCAAUGGAAUGCCAGAGGACUUGUUUUUAAGAAGGGUGAACUUCUUGAAGUUAUCAAUAACUACGAUAUAAUUACUAUCUCUGAGUCUUGGUUAAAUCCUAACUUUCAUUUUUUUAUUCCAGGAUUUACGAUUUAUAGAAGAGACUCAUCUCGCUAUAAGUCUAGCGGUCUAUGCCUCAUGAUCUGUAAUGACAUCCAAUCUGUUGUUGACAAUGAGAUCAAACACUAUGAAGGACUUUUAAACACUCUUGGUGUUUUUCUUUCAACCGCACAAGGAAGACGAAAUCUCAACCAGAUUACAAAGCGAUGACUUCGACACCUCUGAACAAAUUAACUAUCUCUCUACACAAUUUAUUGAGGCAGUCAAUUCAGCUAAUGAUCCAACUUUGAUGAAAACUCAGACUCUAAUCAGAUCUUCAAAAUGAUUUAUGGUGACUUAAUCAGAGGAAAAAACGUUUUUU